RNAcentral lists this long non-coding RNA (725 nucleotides) under Equus caballus (horse). RNAcentral's name for it is "lncRNA (ENSECAG00000056591.1)". The record is from RNAcentral. Lineage: Eukaryota; Metazoa; Chordata; Mammalia; Perissodactyla; Equidae.
UAGAAUUCAAGUCUAUCUGGCUCUCAUGACAGGAUGCUUGGCCUCUAUGCUAUGGUCCCCUCUGAAGACUUGGGGGGGCUCAAGAGAGGCCCGAGGCGGUCCGCAAGCGCCCUUCCCUGGGCCGAAGCCCCACGGAGGCUCGGAGCUAGGAUCCGAACCCCAACUUCCGGGCCUGGAAUCCGGGCGGGGAGCCCAAAAUGAGUGCGCGCAGGGGGACCCGCAGCGCCUCCGCGGCCGGGCGCACAGUGCCAUCGCGCGGCCGGAGCGAGCAGCGCAUCCGGGGCCGCCGACUCCGACCUUCGCCAGGACCAGGGGAACCUGAGGCUCAGAGUGGACAGUGAUUUCCUCUAGGCCACACAGCAAGUCAGCAGGGCUGCUGCCUCCCCAUCAGCCCGGCAGAGUCCUCGGGCUCACCGAUCCUCCUGGCGCCCGGACCGGCAGCAUCAGCAGCCCCUGGGAACAGGCUAGAAAGGCAGCUUCCUGGGCCCCACCUCGACCUCCUGCAUCGGAAACUGUGGGUGGGGCUCAGCUCCCAGCAUUUUAGGACACGCUCCAGGGGAUUCACGAAGCACACUCCAGAUGAGAAUGGUUGCUGUCUCUUUGGAAGUAGAAUUCCGGAGGAGGAAUAGACCUUUUCUUCUUUUUUCUUUUUUAAUCAUAUUGUGCAUCUUUAAAAUAAAAAUAACACAUGGGAAAAUGCAUAGAUUUGACUCUUUUGUUUUCAG